RNAcentral lists this ribosomal RNA (427 nucleotides) under uncultured bacterium. Its description in RNAcentral is "partial 16S ribosomal RNA". It matches the Rfam family "Bacterial small subunit ribosomal RNA", at positions 354 to 796 of the family's 1533-position model. The record is from RNAcentral.
GUGGGGAAUAUUGGGCAAUGGGGGCAACCCUGACCCAGCGACGCCGCGUGAGGGAAGACGGCCUUCGGGUUGUAAACCUCUUUUGUACGGGAAGAAGGAAGUGACGGUACUGUACGAAUAAGUCCCGGCUAACUACGUGCCAGCAGCCGCGGUAAUACGUAGGGGACGAGCGUUGUCCGGAAUUACUGGGCGUAAAGGGCGCGCAGGCUGUGCUGCAAGUCAGCUGUGAAAUGUCUGGGCUUAACCCGGGCAUGCGGUUGAGACUGCAGUGCUGGAGUGCUGUAGAGGCAAGUGGAAUUCCCAGUGUAGCGGUGAAAUGCGUAGAUAUUGGGAAGAACACCGGUGGCGAAGGCGACUUGCUGGGCAGCAACUGACGCUGAGGCGCGAAAGCCAGGGGAGCAAACGGGAUUAGAAACCCGGGUAGUCC